This is a non-coding RNA of Gossypium hirsutum (cotton), 144 nucleotides long. NCBI's taxonomy places the organism in Eukaryota, Viridiplantae, Streptophyta, Magnoliopsida, Malvales, Malvaceae. The record is from Rfam.
UGUUAUAAAUUUCAUCCAUUUCUAUUGUUAAAAAUUGGCGUGACUAACGGAAUAGCCAAACAAUUACAUGUGGUGUGCCACGUGUAUCUCAUGUGGACGUAGAAGGACAGUUUUUAAUAGUACAAAUUGAUGAAAUUUUUAACA